UACGAAGGGGGCUAGCGUUGUUCGGAUUUACUGGGCGUAAAGCGCACGUAGGCGGGUCGUUAAGUCGGGGGUGAAAUCCUGGAGCUCAACUCCAGAACUGCCUUCGAUACUGGCGAUCUUGAGUCCGGAAGAGGUGAGUGGAACUCCUAGUGUAGAGGUGGAAUUCGUAGAUAUUAGGAAGAACACCAGUGGCGAAGGCGGCUCACUGGUCCGGUACUGACGCUGAGGUGCGAAAGCGUGGGGAGCAAACAGG
This 253-nucleotide ribosomal RNA is filed under the name uncultured bacterium. RNAcentral describes it as "partial 16S ribosomal RNA". It matches the Rfam family "Bacterial small subunit ribosomal RNA", at positions 524 to 776 of the family's 1533-position model. The record is from RNAcentral.